Long non-coding RNA from Sceloporus undulatus (fence lizard), 475 nucleotides. RefSeq lists it as uncharacterized. The record is from RefSeq and is a predicted model, not a curated record. The transcript has 3 exons. Lineage: Eukaryota; Metazoa; Chordata; Lepidosauria; Squamata; Phrynosomatidae.
AGGGUGCAGUGGUGACCCUUGGAAUAUGUUUGAGGAAGAAAGACACAGGCCAUGGAGGAGAUCUUCAUUUUUUUAAAAAAGCAGGUUCAGACUCUUCGUGGGAAAAGAAUGAAUGAGUAGACGGGCCAUUCGGUUCCUCCAUGCUCUCAGCACGACUUGGCAACUGUUCUCAUUUCACCCUUGCAUGGUCACAGUGGAAGUGCUUUUCUUUCACUUUGGCAACCUGGGAGGGCAAGGAUAGGAAUCUGAAAAAUAUACUAAAGCACAUUGCAUUUAAAGAAAUAAGUUUAAAGGCAACCAGUUGCAGCACUUGAUGGGGAAAAAAAUAGGAUAAAUCCCUUGCAGCACUUCAGGACAUUUGAAAACAGCGAAAACUGCCUACGUUCCCUAAAGGCACCAGAUCCUGUCUGACCUUGAAAGCUAUGCAGGGUCAACUCUGGUUAGUUCUUGGAUGGGAAACCACCAAGGAAUAUCA